CUGCACUAGAUACUAACCUGACUGUCUGCUGCCCAGUAGUAUUUUAGUACUGGUGCACUUUCAUGGCCGUCGGGUCCAGAAUGGUGCUAUAAAAACAAACAACAAGCCCUGUGAUUUAAGCACUGAGAGGGAAGUCAUUACCUCAGCUGUUAUUACUCAGGGAUACACAA
Molecule: non-coding RNA, 170 nt
Organism: Silurus meridionalis
Lineage: Eukaryota; Metazoa; Chordata; Actinopteri; Siluriformes; Siluridae
Product: small Cajal body-specific RNA 1
Exons: 1
Source: RefSeq, a predicted model, not a curated record